GGGUUUCGUAGUCACCUGAUGCUCCUUAGUCAUGCAUUUAGCCUCUCCAGCACCCAGCAGCAAGGCAGGAGCUGUUCAUAUGGAGAAUAAUUGGCAGAAGACCAAACAGCCUUACUCUAAAACCCUAGAGGACUCGUGCCUUCGGAUCCUGAUUUAAGUGAGAAGUCCACUAUCCUGGAGCUGCUAUGCUGGAGAGACCAUGUGAAAAGAUCAUAUAGAAGUAGAAAGAUGCCCAAGAAGCCAUAUAUGCUUCUUCCUGUAGCGUUUCAGUCUGCCCACCCAGGGAUCAGACAUGUGAGAGAAAGAGUCUUAAAGAUUAUCCCAACCCCAGCCACCAUCUGACUGCAACCUCAUGAAAACCCGACACUAGAACAGUGGUAUCAGCUCAACCUUUGCAAGGGCUAGGAGACUGAGGGCAGCUGACCAGAUUUAUGUGACUGAGCCUAAUAAACUGGCCUGAGUGAGCUUCCCUGGUUGACAGUAUUCUGUGAGUAUUAUCACACACUGGAUGUCAGGAAACUAACACUGUCCACAACUCAUGGAAAGGACAACUGGGAGUUCUGUG
This 565-nucleotide long non-coding RNA is filed under the name Pongo abelii (Sumatran orangutan). RNAcentral describes it as "lincRNA". The record is from RNAcentral. Lineage: Eukaryota; Metazoa; Chordata; Mammalia; Primates; Hominidae.